AACGAACGCUGGCGGCAUGCCUAACACAUGCAAGUCGAACGAGACCUUCGGGUCUAGUGGCGCACGGGUGCGUAACGCGUGGGAACCUGCCCUUAGGUUCGGAAUAACUCCCCGAAAGGGGUGCUAAUACCGGAUAAUGUCUUCGGACCAAAGAUUUAUCGCCUUUGGAUGGGCCCGCGUUGGAUUAGCUAGUUGGUAGGGUAAAAGCCUACCAAGGCGACGAUCCAUAGCUGGUCUGAGAGGAUGAUCAGCCACACUGGGACUAGGACACGGCCCAGACUCCUACGGGAGGGGGCAGUGGGGGAUAUUGGAGAGUGGGCUGUGGGCUGAUGCAUCUAUGACGCGUGAGUGAUGAAGGCUUUGGGGUUGUAAAGCACGUUUACCCGGUGUGAUAAUGACGGUACCGUGAGAAUAAGCUCCGGCUAACUUCGUG
Molecule: ribosomal RNA, 433 nt
Filed under: uncultured bacterium
Lineage: Bacteria
Description: partial 16S ribosomal RNA
Rfam family: Bacterial small subunit ribosomal RNA
Source: RNAcentral